UUGAUGGAGAAUUUGAUCCUGGUUCAGAACGAACGUUGGCGGCGUGGAUGAGGCAUGCAAGUCGAUCGGUAAGGCCCCUUCGGGGGUACACGAGAGGCGAAAGGGUGAGUAAUAACUGGUUAAUCUACCCUUGAGUGGGGGAUAACCCUG
RNAcentral lists this ribosomal RNA (150 nucleotides) under Planctomycetota bacterium. Its description in RNAcentral is "Planctomycetes bacterium (activated sludge metagenome) partial 16S ribosomal RNA". It matches the Rfam family "Bacterial small subunit ribosomal RNA", at positions 1 to 151 of the family's 1533-position model. Lineage: Bacteria; Pseudomonadati; Planctomycetota. The record is from RNAcentral.